UACCUGCCAUUCUGUGACAGUUGCCU
RNAcentral lists this non-coding RNA (26 nucleotides) under Homo sapiens (human). The record is from RNAcentral. Lineage: Eukaryota; Metazoa; Chordata; Mammalia; Primates; Hominidae.